This 864-nucleotide ribosomal RNA is filed under the name uncultured archaeon. RNAcentral describes it as "bacterial SSU rRNA". It matches the Rfam family "Archaeal small subunit ribosomal RNA", at positions 1 to 873 of the family's 1478-position model. The record is from RNAcentral.
UUCCCGGUUGAUCCUGCCGGACCCGACUGCUAUCAGAGUGGGACUAAGCCAUGCGAGUCAACGUAGAAAUACGUGGCGAACGGCUCAGUAACACGUAGUCAACAUGCCCAGAGGACGUGGAUAACCUCGGGAAACUGAGGAUAAACCGCGAUAGGCCAUGAUUUCUGGAAUGGUUCAUGGCUGAAAUCUAUAUGGCCUCUGGAUUGGACUGCGGCCGAUCAGGCUGUUGGUGAGGUAAUGGCCCACCAAACCUGUAACCGGUACGGGCUCUGAGAGGAGGAGCCCGGAGAUGGGCACUGAGACAAGGGCCCAGGCCCUAUGGGGCGCAGCAGGCGCGAAAUCUCUGCAAUAGGCGAAAGCUUGACAGGGUUACUCUGAGUGAUUCCCGCUAAGGGGAUCUUUUGGCACCUCUAAAAAUGGUGCAGAAUAAGGGGUGGGCAAGUCUGGUGUCAGCCGCCGCGGUAAUACCAGCACCCCGAGUGGUCGGGACGAUUAUUGGGCCUAAAGCAUCCGUAGCCGGUACUGCAAGUCUUCCGUUAAAUCCACCUGCUCAACAGUUGGGCUGCGGGGGAUACUACAGCGCUAGGAGGCGGGAGAGGCAAGCGGUACUCAGUGGGUAGGGGUAAAAUCCACUGAUCCAUUGAAGACCACCAGUGGCGAAGGCGGCUUGCCAGAACGCGCUCGACGGUGAGGGAUGAAAGCUGGGGGAGCAAACCGGAUUAGAUACCCGGGUAGUCCCAGCUGUAAACGAUGCAGACUCGGUGAUGGGCUGGCCUUGUGCCAACCCAGUGCCGCAGGGAAGCCGUUAAGUCUGCCGCCUGGGGAGUACGGUCGCAAGACUGAAACUUAAAGGAAUUGGCGGGA